Molecule: non-coding RNA, 138 nt
Organism: Ornithorhynchus anatinus (platypus)
Lineage: Eukaryota; Metazoa; Chordata; Mammalia; Monotremata; Ornithorhynchidae
Source: Rfam
CCCCUCUCAAGGUCCCACCUGGAGAGUUGCCAGUACUCUACCAGUCUCGACUAUGGGAGGGCCAGUCAAGCAGAGGCAUAUCCAUUCCUUUCCUAGCUUGGCCAGAGGCUAGCGAGUGGAAGGUCAUCUGCUAUAAGU